RNAcentral lists this ribosomal RNA (960 nucleotides) under human gut metagenome. RNAcentral's name for it is "bacterial SSU rRNA". It matches the Rfam family "Bacterial small subunit ribosomal RNA", at positions 87 to 1063 of the family's 1533-position model. The record is from RNAcentral.
CUGUUUUAGCGGCGGACGGGUGAGUAACGCGUGAGCAACCUUUCCCAGACAGGGGAAUAACACACCGAAAGGUGUACUAAUACCGCAUAAGACCACGGGAUCACAUGGUUCUGGGGUAAAAGAUUUAUCGGUUUGGGGUGGGCUCGCGUCCGAUUAGGUAGUUGGUGAGGUAACGGCCCACCAAGCCGACGAUCGGUAGCCGACCUGAGAGGGUGAUCGGCCACAUUGGGACUGAGACACGGCCCAAACUCCUACGGGAGGCAGCAGUGGGGAAUAUUGGGCAAUGGAGGAAACUCUGACCCAGCAACGCCGCGUGGAGGAAGAAGGUUUUCGGAUCGUAAACUCCUGUCCUUGGAGACGAGUAGAAGACGGUAUCCAAGGAGGAAGCCCCGGCUAACUACGUGCCAGCAGCCGCGGUAAUACGUAGGGGGCAAGCGUUGUCCGGAAUAAUUGGGCGUAAAGGGCGCGUAGGCGGCUCGGUAAGUCUGGAGUGAAAGUCCUGCUUUUAAGGUGGGAAUUGCUUUGGAUACUGUCGGGCUUGAGUGCAGGAGAGGUUAGUGGAAUUCCCAGUGUAGCGGUGAAAUGCGUAGAGAUUGGGAGGAACACCAGUGGCGAAGGCGACUAACUGGACUGUAACUGACGCUGAGGCGCGAAAGUGUGGGGAGCAAACAGGAUUAGAUACCCUGGUAGUCCACACUGUAAACGAUGAAUGCUAGGUGUAGGGGGUAUCGACCCCUUCUGUGCCGCAGUCAACACAAUAAGCAUUCCGCCUGGGGAGUACGGCCGCAAGGUUGAAACUCAAAGGAAUUGACGGGGGCCCGCACAAGCAGCGGAGCAUGUGGUUUAAUUCGACGCAACGCGAAGAACCUUACCAGGUCUUGACAUCCACUUAAACUUACAGAGAUGUAAGGUGUGCUUGCACAAAGUGAGACAGGUGGUGCAUGGUUGUCGUCAGCUCGU